Molecule: non-coding RNA, 187 nt
Filed under: Pongo abelii (Sumatran orangutan)
Lineage: Eukaryota; Metazoa; Chordata; Mammalia; Primates; Hominidae
Source: RNAcentral
GAGGAUUAUAUGAGAUACUUACGUAAGAGGGGCUGGUGCAUUGUGGAAGUCAAUAAAUAAGUUUUGUUAAAUCUGAGUAAGAAGACCCGUUUGUUUCCUCAAAUUGCUUAUAAUCUAGGUGAGGACACAUCUGAGAGAAUAACUAAUAGUUCAGUGAAGCUCCUAAGGAGGCAGCAGAAACCAAGGU